GNNUUGGGCAUGCCCGGANGGUGACCCAGCAACGCCGCGUGGAGGAUGAAUGCCGUAAGGUUGUAAACUCCUGUUAGAAGGGACGAAAAAGUAGUAUUCGUAAGGGUACUAAAUUGACGGUACCUUCAGAGAAAACCCCGGCUAACUACGUGCCAGCAGCCGCGGUAAUACGUAGGGGGUUAGCGUUGUCCGGAUUUACUGGGUGUAAAGGGCGCGUAGGCGGAUUUGCAAGUCAGAGGUGAAAUCCUACAGCUUAACUGUAGAACUGCCUUUGAUACUACAAAUCUUGAGUUCAGAAGAGAGAGAUGGAAUUCCAGGUGUAGUGGUGAAAUACGUAGAUAUCUGGAAGAACACCAGUGGCGAAGGCGAUCUUUUGGUCUGACACUGACGCUGAGGCGCGAAAGCGUGGGUAGCAAACAGGAUUAGAUACCCUGGUAGUCCACGCUGUAAACCAUGAAUACUAGAUGUUGGUUCCGUUGGGAUCAGUGUCGAAGCUAACGCAUUAAGUAUUCCACCUGGGGAGUACGAUCGCAAGGUUGAAACUCAAAGGAAUUGACGGA
Molecule: ribosomal RNA, 560 nt
Filed under: uncultured bacterium
Lineage: Bacteria
Description: bacterial SSU rRNA
Rfam family: Bacterial small subunit ribosomal RNA
Source: RNAcentral